RNAcentral lists this ribosomal RNA (569 nucleotides) under Werneria tandyi (Tandy's smalltongue toad). RNAcentral describes it as "partial 16S ribosomal RNA". It matches the Rfam family "Bacterial large subunit ribosomal RNA", at positions 1817 to 2600 of the family's 2925-position model. The record is from RNAcentral. Lineage: Eukaryota; Metazoa; Chordata; Amphibia; Anura; Bufonidae.
CGCCUCUUGUUAUGCUUAUAAGAGGUCCAGCCUGCCCAGUGACCCUGUUCAACGGCCGCGGUAUCCUAACCGUGCGAAGGUAGCGUAAUCACUUGUUCUUUAAAUGCGGACUAGUAUGAACGGCACCACGAAGGUUAUACUGUCUCCUUUUCUUAAUCAGUGAAACUAAUCCCCCCGUGAAGAAGCGGGGAUAAAACUAUAAGACGAGAAGACCCUAUGGAGCUUUAAACAACAUGGCAUUUGUCACACAACAUUAAAAUUUCUGAAUCUCUAUAUUGAUCGGCAAAAUGACUAUAAGUUUUUGGUUGGGGUGACCACGGAGCAUAACAUAACCUCCAUGUUGAAAGAGUACUUUUUAAGCUAAGAACUACCAAUCUAAGCAUCAAUAAGUUGACAUCUAUUGACCCAAUACACUUGAGCAACGAACCAAGUUACCCUAGGGAUAACAGCGCAAUCCACUUCAAGAGCUCCUAUCGACAAGUGGGUUUACGACCUCGAUGUUGGAUCAGGGUAUCCCAGUGGUGUAGCCGCUACUAAAGGUUCGUUUGUUCAACGAUUAAAACCCUACG